UACGUAGGGGGCGAGCGUUGUCCGGAUUUAUUGGGCCUAAAGCAUCCGUAGCCGGCUCUGUAAGUUUUCGGUUAAAUCUAUAUGCUCAACGUAUAGGCUGCCGAAAAUACUGCACAGCUAGGGAAUGGGAGAGGUAGACGGUACUCGGUAGGAAGGGGUAAAAUCCUUUGAUCUAUCGAUGACCACCUGUGGCGAAGGCGGUCUACCAGAACAUGUUCGACGGUGAGGGAUGAAAGCUGGGGGAGCAAACCGG
RNAcentral lists this ribosomal RNA (253 nucleotides) under uncultured archaeon. Its description in RNAcentral is "partial 16S ribosomal RNA". It matches the Rfam family "Bacterial small subunit ribosomal RNA", at positions 524 to 776 of the family's 1533-position model. The record is from RNAcentral.